UUUUUGAAAUUUUUAUUUAUAAAAGGUUCAUCCUGCCCAGUGAUAUUUUAACGGCCGCGGUAUCCUGACCGUGCAAAGGUAGCAUAAUCAUUUGCCUCUUAAUUGGAGGCUAGUAUGAAUGGACAAACGAAACUUAUCCUGUCUCUUAUUGCUCUAUAAAAAUUAGCUUUUAGGUGAAGAGACCUAAAUACUUUAAAAAGACAAGAAGACCCUAUUGAGUUUUACAUUAUAACUACCGUUUAGCUUACUGUUUGGUUGGGGCGACCAGGGAAAUUCACUCUCCUCCCUUCCUCUUAAGACCCUUAGUCCUUAAAAAUGACCCUUUAUUGAUCAUCAGAAUUAACUACCAUAGGGAUAACAGGCUUAUUUUCUCUGAGAGUUCAUAUUAAAGAGAAAGUUUGGCACCUCGAUGUUGGCUUAGGGUAACUCUUAAAUGCAGUAGUUUAAAAAAGUUAGUUUGUUCAACUAUUAAAUCCCUACGUGAUCUGA
This 489-nucleotide ribosomal RNA is filed under the name Pisione cf. vestigalis KW468. RNAcentral's name for it is "partial 16S ribosomal RNA". It matches the Rfam family "Bacterial large subunit ribosomal RNA", at positions 1820 to 2608 of the family's 2925-position model. Lineage: Eukaryota; Metazoa; Annelida; Polychaeta; Phyllodocida; Pisionidae. The record is from RNAcentral.